RNAcentral lists this ribosomal RNA (296 nucleotides) under uncultured bacterium. RNAcentral describes it as "partial 16S ribosomal RNA". It matches the Rfam family "Bacterial small subunit ribosomal RNA", at positions 30 to 326 of the family's 1533-position model. The record is from RNAcentral.
AUUGAACGCUGGCGGCAUGCCUUACACAUGCAAGUCGAACGGCAGCACGGGAGCAAUCCUGGUGGCGAGUGGCGAACGGGUGAGUAAUAUAUCGGAACGUGCCCAGUCGUGGGGAUAACGUAGCGAAAGCUACGCUAAUACCGCAUACGAUCUAUGGAUGAAAGCGGGGGGAUCGCAAGACCUCGCGCGAUUGGAGCGGCCGAUAUCAGAUUAGGUAGUUGGUGAGGUAAAGGCUCGCCAAGCCGACGAUCUGUAGCUGGUCUGAGAGGACGACCAGCCACACUGGGACUGAGACA